UACGUAGGGUGCGAGCGUUGUCCGGAAUUAUUGGGCGUAAAGAGCUCGUAGGCGGUUUGUCGCGUCGGCCGUGAAAACUUGGGGCUUAACUCCAAGCUUGCGGUCGAUACGGGCAGACUUGAGUUCGGCAGGGGAGACUGGAAUUCCUGGUGUAGCGGUGAAAUGCGCAGAUAUCAGGAGGAACACCUGCGGCGAAGGCGGGUUGCUGGGCUGACACUGACGCUGAUGCGCGAAAGCUAGGGGAGCGAACGGG
This 253-nucleotide ribosomal RNA is filed under the name uncultured bacterium. Its description in RNAcentral is "partial 16S ribosomal RNA". It matches the Rfam family "Bacterial small subunit ribosomal RNA", at positions 524 to 776 of the family's 1533-position model. The record is from RNAcentral.